AGGGGAGAUUGGGAAGGGAGACAACAUUUAAGAUGUAAAUAAAUAAAAUAGCCAAUUAAAAAUAAAUAGGAUGUAUAAUACCUAAUACCUUGAUGAUCUCUUUUAAUCUUAAAAAAUUAAAUAAAUUAGAAAUAGAAGUUUAGGGAUGGCUUAGUCAAUAAGAGCCCUUGUUUUGUGAGCAUGGGAGCCUGAGUUCAAAUCCUCAUCACUUACGUGAAAGCUGGGCGCACCUGUGGAUGUCUAAAACUCCAGUACUGGGAGGGAAAAAGCAAGAAGAGAGAUCUUAGGAGCUCACUGGCCGGCCAGCCCGGAUGAAAUGAAGAGCUUUUGGUUCUGUGAGAAACCCUGUUUCGAGGGAAUAAGGCUGAGCGUGACAGAGGAACAUAGCCAACAUCUUGCUCUGGUUUUUACAUGGGCACACACGGGCACAUGAACCCACCCGCUCACUUGCACAUCACACACACACACGCGCGCGCAAUUUCGACUUAAUAAAACUUUCACUCUGCAGUGAGUUCAUUGCUGAGUAAACCCGUCAUAAGUCAAGAAGCAUCCGUAUGCAAGUAAAAGCCUCAGAGGCAGGGGAAUGGAACAAAGAAGGAGCAGUGUGCUUGGCUACAGGCUCAGCAGCUACAAGGAUUCCAGGAAGAACAUCACAGCUGCCAAGGUUGUUCCAAGAAGGGUCCGUACAAGAUCUGACGCAUGCGCAGAGGGAGCAUCACUUGACUGGGCUGUCGAGCAUGCAAAGUAAGGAAGACCACACAUGCAGUGGGAUGUCUCUAAGGACACAGCUGGAGUACUGCCAUCUGCACAGAAGAUACUCCUAGGGAAUGGGAACAAAAACCUUCACUUCCUGGGAGCAGGAUCGAGUCCCCAGCAAUCGCAUCAGAAAGAGUUUGAAAGGAAGAUGGCAUGGUCAGCACUCUCCAGGGCUAGGGAAGAGAUUCGGAAGAUGCGGUUGAUACAGUCAGUGCUCCGAGCUGUGUGACAAGAAGGCUUGUGCCUGGAGAGGAAAUGCACUCUUCUGACCCUGCAACUUUCCGGACCCCAGGCUAAUCUUCCAGGGGGUCGGGAACACCUGUCCCUGUGUAUCAGGAAGCUCUUCCAGGGAUCUAAUGUCUACUUUCCAGGCACAGGCUCAGCGGACCAUCAGGGCUGGGUGCAGGAAAAUGGCUUUCCCAGCCCACUUACUCCGAGAGUUGGCCUCCCACCGUGAUUCGCUCUAAGCUGGGAGGUCCGCUCCGCCCGCAGACGAGAGUGGGGGAUGGGGGAUAGGGGGGAGCAUAGCUAAAGGCUUCCUGGGAACAGGCUUCCUGCUUUCACCUGUUGUUCUCCGCUUCGCCCCCCCCCCCUCAAGCCCCCAACAGCUGUAGAAGA
Rattus norvegicus (Norway rat) is the source of this 1374-nucleotide non-coding RNA. Lineage: Eukaryota; Metazoa; Chordata; Mammalia; Rodentia; Muridae. The record is from RefSeq and is a predicted model, not a curated record.